UACGUAGGGUGCAAGCGUUGUCCGGAAUUAUUGGGCGUAAAGAGCUCGUAGGCGGUUCGUCGCGUCGGCUGUGAAAACCCGGAGCUCAACUCCGGGCCUGCAGUCGAUACGGGCGGACUUGAGUGUUGCAGGGGAGACUGGAAUUCCUGGUGUAGCGGUGAAAUGCGCAGAUAUCAGGAGGAACACCGGUGGCGAAGGCGGGUCUCUGGGCCACUACUGACGCUGAGAAGCGAAAGCAUGGGGAGCGAACAGG
RNAcentral lists this ribosomal RNA (253 nucleotides) under uncultured bacterium. RNAcentral's name for it is "partial 16S ribosomal RNA". It matches the Rfam family "Bacterial small subunit ribosomal RNA", at positions 524 to 776 of the family's 1533-position model. The record is from RNAcentral.